CAUAUAAGACAGGACAGCCUGGCUGAACACUCUCUCCCAUGCUGUCUCCCAGACUUUGACAUCCUCUAACUACAUUCUACUGAGGAACUGGAAGCAUAGUUUUGAAACCUCAUUGAAGCCCACAAUGGUGCAGGCAUUGUGCCAGGCACUGAAGAUUGAGACACAAGAGCAUCGUGGGCCCAACAUGAAACAUUCUCAUAGAAAGGACACAGUACUGAGACAGUAAUACCCUGGGUGUGAUCCAUAAAUAGACAGAGGAAGGAGCAAGUGACGGUAGUCUCUGGAGUGAGAAGUCUGUUGAAGCAGAGACCCCCACAGAUAAAGAUUUUGUCAGGGUCAGAGUUGAUGAAGAUAGCCCAGGAAAGGCUACUGAUGAAGAUGCAGACCAACUGUAGUAGAGAUCCCCCCCACAUUUGGAGCAUGCCAAUACCAUGGAUGGACCACCAAGGACAGGAGCAGACAUGCAGUGGAGCCAGCUUAACCUAGCAAUUUAGCUAUGUGUGGUGCCGACAGCAAAGCUGAAGAAAUGGAACUAACUGCCCAGUUCCUUUGGAACCCAAAGGAUCAUGACUGGGUCUUAGACACCAAGCACUACACUUUCACACUGUUGAAUUUUGGAUUUACUUUGAUUAUAACUAUGCUCUGGCUCUUCCCUCUUGGAAUAAGAGAGUGUGUAAUUUAUUUUCUUAUUUUACAACUGAUGAUUGAAAAAUGAACUUUUAAAGAAACUCUGGAGUUUUAAAGAGACCACGGAUAUUUUAGAGACUUUCAGAUGUUGAAGAUGGGCUUUAAUUUGAAAAGAGAUUUUGAAUAUUUUAAAAAGACUGAACUUUUUAAAAAUGUUUGCAUUUUCAAAGACUAUAAAAGUUUUAAUAUUUGGAAUGUUUUAUAUGGUGAGAUUGAUGUUAAUAGGAGAUGGUGGGGCAAGCAAGAAAGGAAAGACUAUGGUUUAAUAGUGAUGUACCAGUGUGUCAAGAUGACAUGGGGUCAUUUUCCACC
Long non-coding RNA from Mesocricetus auratus (golden hamster), 999 nucleotides. RefSeq lists it as uncharacterized. The transcript is spliced from 3 exons. The record is from RefSeq and is a predicted model, not a curated record. Lineage: Eukaryota; Metazoa; Chordata; Mammalia; Rodentia; Cricetidae.